UACGUAGGGUGCAGGCGUUAAUCGGAAUUACUGGGCGUAAAGUGUGCGCAGGCGGCCGCGCAAGUCGAGUGUGAAAGCCCCGAGCUUAACUUGGGAAUUGCGCUCGAAACUACGUGGCUGGAGUGUGGCAGAGGAAGGUGGAAUUCCAGGUGUAGCGGUGAAAUGCGUAGAGAUCUGGAGGAACACCGAUGGCGAAGGCAGCCUUCUGGGCCAACACUGACGCUCAUGCACGAAAGCGUGGGGAGCAAACAGG
Molecule: ribosomal RNA, 253 nt
Filed under: uncultured bacterium
Lineage: Bacteria
Description: partial 16S ribosomal RNA
Rfam family: Bacterial small subunit ribosomal RNA
Source: RNAcentral